GGUCGUUCUACUCCCAAAUUUUGCUGAAUAUGGCAUUAUAGCACUAGAAAUAAUGGCUGCUGGUGGAAUUUAUUCUGGUGCCAAUCCUGCUGCACAUGAAUCUGAGAUUAAGAAGCUGGUUCAGGCUGCCAAUGCCAAGCUAAUUGUGAGGGGUAUAGAACUACCAGUGAUUCUGCGAGGCGAAACGCGCAUUGGAAGUGCCAUGAAUUGGAAUGAACUGCUCGAUGCAGCUGCCCUUGCAAGCGACAAAUAUGUCUAUGAAGAUGUCACCAGAGUGAUCUAUGCGCACUUCCAUUCUCAUUAGGCACCACAGGGAUGUCGAAAGUGAUGCAGGCAUUCAAGAAUGACAGUAAAUAACCGCGAAGCCUUAUGGUUUCCCACAACCGUUUGACUUAACAUAAGUAGUAGGAAGGCCUUGUCCAGAUUUGAUACAUGGCCUGGCCAGGUAACCAGUAUCAGGUGGCUCCCGUAGAGAUAGAAGCUAUCCUAGUUGCUCAUCAUUCUGUUGAAGAUGCAGCUAAGUAUAUUAACUAAGUAAUUCAAUAUUUAUUACCUACUGCAGACUGUAUUCUUUUUGUCCCCUUUUUUUUUUUUUAAUUUUUCUUUCUCCUCUAUUGAAUAAAUUAUACAUUUGGGUAAAGGUUACCAAUGUUAUUUAUGAGAGUUCAGGCUGCCAGAUGAAGAGGCUGGGCAGAUCCCAGCUGCUUGUGUUGUGAUAAACCAAGAAGCCAAAGAAAACGAAGAAGAUACCAUAAACUAUGUGGCCUCUAAUGUUGCCCGUAAUAAGAAAUUAAGAGUUGUGCACUUUGUGGAGAGCAUCCCAAAAUAACAUUCCGGAAAAAUAAUGAGAAGGCUUACUAAAAGAUGCAUGCAGACCGAUCCAAAGCCAAUGAUCAAGUCACUGGUUCUCAAAUGACACACUAAUCGUUGUAAACACCAUAUUUUGGUUGACCCUCAAAUGCGUAAUUUGUGUAAUUAAUAUACAAUUUUCUUCUAAAGUUGUAAUUUAGUUUCAAAUACUUUCUUGAAUGGAUCUUCCAUUUUAAUGUUA
Molecule: long non-coding RNA, 1051 nt
Organism: Hevea brasiliensis (rubber tree)
Lineage: Eukaryota; Viridiplantae; Streptophyta; Magnoliopsida; Malpighiales; Euphorbiaceae
Exons: 4
Source: RefSeq, a predicted model, not a curated record